Long non-coding RNA from Pygocentrus nattereri (red-bellied piranha), 1223 nucleotides. The record is from Ensembl. NCBI's taxonomy places the organism in Eukaryota, Metazoa, Chordata, Actinopteri, Characiformes, Serrasalmidae.
AUACUGCUCAAAAAAAUAAAGGGAACACUUAAACAACACAAUAUAACUGUAAAUCAAACUUCUGUGAAAUCAAACUGUCCACUUAGGAAGCAACACUGAUUGACAAUCAAUUUCACAGCUGUUGUGCAAAUGGAAUAGAUGUUAGACGGGUCAAAAAAAAGUGUUAUUUUCUUGAUUGAUCUUUAAAAUACAUUUUGGAUUUGUGUUGGUGUAUUUAUGUUUUGAGUGUUUGGUUUUACUUAAAUUUUUCGUGUGCUGUGCUGUGUAAUUUUGGGUGUUUUUGAUUUCUUUUGGGGCCGUCUGACUAUCUCCACCUGGACCUAAUAACUGUCUCUUUAAUCAGCCUAUCAGCGUGGAAAGCGAGCGCGGGUGCUCGGGGACUCUUAUUUUAAAAGCGGACUUUUACAGGAGGGGAGAGAGAUCCGGGGAGAGAGAUCCGGGGAGAGAGAUCGGUGGCGAGAGAUCGGUGGCACAGGUGUGCUGCGGGUGUGGAUAGUGCAGCAGAGGCGGAAGCAGCCGGGAGCGUGGCUAGAACGCCAGCAGGAUUCGGCGCAGCAUUAGCCGGCAGUAGGGGCUUGGUCCGAGUGGCGUGUGAGUGCAGCGGCUGGCAGCAGAUUCAGGAGGAACUGCUGGAGUGUGUGCAUGCGGUGACGUCAGCGGCGGCUCAAAGGGAAUGCUGGAUAGAAGACCGAGGGUCAUCCUAUACACCACAGGCGUGUUGCUGCAAUUUCUGGGUAGUGGUUUCGAUCACUACCCGGAACUGUAGCGGCGUGGUGAGACUCAAGGGAGCCGUGUCUACAUUCCCCUGGUCGUUAUGGACUUCUUUUAUUGAAACAGUGAACCGGACUUUCCUUCCUUUUAGUUCCUGUGUAUUCUUGGUUCCCCUUUGUGUUUUUUUGGUUUAUUUGGUAUUAUUCUUUUGUUUUGCGUUUUUGUUUAUUUAUUUUCCUGUUGUUUUGCUUUCGUUCCCAUUAAUCUACCGCAACGACCUAGCUUUUAGUGUAUAUAUUUGCUCAAAGUAUAAAAUAAAACAUUGCUUGUUUGAGUAUGCUGUCUCCUGUUGGGAUCACUGGCUCAUACUCUGUUCCCUCCCAAACGAAUUUAUUAUUUCUUUACUAGUGUGGGUGAGUCGUGUGGAGUUUGGGUUAGAUUGGGUUCUGGUUGUACAUCUUUCUCUAUCUCAAUGGUUCCUAGGAGUAGUAAAUUUUAAUAGUAGGUUUUAA